Molecule: ribosomal RNA, 1015 nt
Filed under: Lactiplantibacillus plantarum
Lineage: Bacteria; Bacillati; Bacillota; Bacilli; Lactobacillales; Lactobacillaceae
Description: bacterial SSU rRNA
Rfam family: Bacterial small subunit ribosomal RNA
Source: RNAcentral
CGUAUUAGUCUAGAUGGUGGUCGGAAUAACGGCUCCACUCAUGGCAAUGAUAGGUAGCCGACCUGAGAGGGUAAUCGGCCACAUUGGGACUGAGACACGGCCCAAACUCCUACGGGAGGCAGCAGUAGGGAAUCUUCCACAAUGGACGAAAGUCUGAUGGAGCAACGCCGCGUGAGUGAAGAAGGGUUUCGGCUCGUAAAACUCUGUUGUUAAAGAAGAACAUAUCUGAGAGUAACUGUUCAGGUAUUGACGGUAUUUAACCAGAAAGCCACGGCUAACUACGUGCCAGCAGCCGCGGUAAUACGUAGGUGGCAAGCGUUGUCCGGAUUUAUUGGGCGUAAAGCGAGCGCAGGCGGUUUUUUAAGUCUGAUGUGAAAGCUUCGGCUCAACCGAAGAAGUGCAUCGGAAACUGGGAAACUUGAGUGCAGAAGAGGACAGUGGAACUCCAUGUGUAGCGGUGAAAUGCGUAGAUAUAUGGAAGAACACCAGUGGCGAAGGCGGCUGUCUGGUCUGUAACUGACGCUGAGGCUCGAAAGUAUGGGUAGCAAACAGGAUUAGAUACCCUGGUAGUCCAUACCGUAAACGAUGAAUGCUAAGUGUUGGAGGGUUUCCGCCCUUCAGUGCUGCAGCUAACGCAUUAAGCAUUCCGCCUGGGGAGUACGGCCGCAAGGCUGAAACUCAAAGGAAUUGACGGGGGCCCGCACAAGCGGUGGAGCAUGUGGUUUAAUUCGAAGCUACGCGAAGAACCUUACCAGGUCUUGACAUACUAUGCAAAUCUAAGAGAUUAGACGUUUCCCUUCGGGGACAUGGAUACAGGUGGUGCAUGGUUGUCGUCAGCUCGUGUCGUGAGAUGUUGGGUUAAGUCCCGCAACGAGCGCAACCCUUAUUAUCAGUUGCCAGCAUUAAGUUGGGCACUCUGGUGAGACUGCCGGUGACAAACCGGAGGAAGGUGGGGAUGACGUCAAAUCAUCAUGCCCCUUAUGACCUGGGCUACUACACGUGCCUCACAAUGAGA